RNAcentral lists this ribosomal RNA (1383 nucleotides) under uncultured bacterium. RNAcentral describes it as "bacterial SSU rRNA". It matches the Rfam family "Bacterial small subunit ribosomal RNA", at positions 18 to 1396 of the family's 1533-position model. The record is from RNAcentral.
CCUGGCUCAGGAUGAACGCUAGCUACAGGCUUAACACAUGCAAGUCGAGGGGCAGCAUGGUCUUAGCUUGCUAAGACUGAUGGCGACCGGCGCACGGGUGAGUAACACGUAUCCAACCUGCCGUCUACUCUUGGACAGCCUUCUGAAAGGAAGAUUAAUACAAGAUGGCAUCAUGAGUCCGCAUGUUCACAUGAUUAAAGGUAUUCCGGUAGACGAUGGGGAUGCGUUCCAUUAGAUAGUAGGCGGGGUAACGGCCCACCUAGUCUUCGAUGGAUAGGGGUUCUGAGAGGAAGGUCCCCCACAUUGGAACUGAGACACGGUCCAAACUCCUACGGGAGGCAGCAGUGAGGAAUAUUGGUCAAUGGGCGAGAGCCUGAACCAGCCAAGUAGCGUGAAGGAUGACUGCCCUAUGGGUUGUAAACUUCUUUUAUAAAGGAAUAAAGUCGGGUAUGCAUACCCGUUUGCAUGUACUUUAUGAAUAAGGAUCGGCUAACUCCGUGCCAGCAGCCGCGGUAAUACGGAGGAUCCGAGCGUUAUCCGGAUUUAUUGGGUUUAAAGGGAGCGUAGAUGGAUGUUUAAGUCAGUUGUGAAAGUUUGCGGCUCAACCGUAAAAUUGCAGUUGAUACUGGAUAUCUUGAGUGCAGUUGAGGCAGGCGGAAUUCGUGGUGUAGCGGUGAAAUGCUUAGAUAUCACGAAGAACUCCGAUUGCGAAGGCAGCCUGCUAAGCUGCAACUGACAUUGAGGCUCGAAAGUGUGGGUAUCAAACAGGAUUAGAUACCCUGGUAGUCCACACGGUAAACGAUGAAUACUCGCUGUUUGCGAUAUACUGCAAGCGGCCAAGCGAAAGCGUUAAGUAUUCCACCUGGGGAGUACGCCGGCAACGGUGAAACUCAAAGGAAUUGACGGGGGCCCGCACAAGCGGAGGAACAUGUGGUUUAAUUCGAUGAUACGCGAGGAACCUUACCCGGGCUUAAAUUGCAGAUGAAUUACGGUGAAAGCCGUAAGCCGCAAGGCAUCUGUGAAGGUGCUGCAUGGUUGUCGUCAGCUCGUGCCGUGAGGUGUCGGCUUAAGUGCCAUAACGAGCGCAACCCUUGUUGUCAGUUACUAACAGGUUCCGCUGAGGACUCUGACAAGACUGCCAUCGUAAGAUGUGAGGAAGGUGGGGAUGACGUCAAAUCAGCACGGCCCUUACGUCCGGGGCUACACACGUGUUACAAUGGGGGGUACAGAGGGCCGCUACCACGCGAGUGGAUGCCAAUCCCCAAAACCUCUCUCAGUUCGGACUGGAGUCUGCAACCCGACUCCACGAAGCUGGAUUCGCUAGUAAUCGCGCAUCAGCCACGGCGCGGUGAAUACGUUCCCGGGCCUUGCACACACCGCCCG